AGUUGCAACGAACAGAGGCCGUUUGAGAAGCGUUAUCGGAAUUUUGUGUUGCUGAAUUGAUGGUUGUUAAGCGAUUAUACCAGAAGCCCGCAAUCAUAAUAAAACACCAUAACAGCAAAGAAUAUUGCUUACUAAGAGGUUUUGUAGGAAUUACACUUCUGAACGAAGCUGAAAGCUGCCCCAACAAAUCAGUUUCCUGCAUGGAAUUCGAAUAUCACAUCCUGUUGACAUAAAAGAAAUCUUGUCGUUCAGAUGUACCUCUGAUAUUUUUAUGGACUUUCAUCAACUAAAGAAGGACAAUAUAUUUAUAAGGAGUCUUCAUCUAUACAUCAACCUUUUUAUAUU
This is a long non-coding RNA of Octopus sinensis (East Asian common octopus), 345 nucleotides long. RefSeq lists it as uncharacterized. Lineage: Eukaryota; Metazoa; Mollusca; Cephalopoda; Octopoda; Octopodidae. The transcript is spliced from 2 exons. The record is from RefSeq and is a predicted model, not a curated record.